GGUGAGGUGACCGAGUGGUUGAAGGUGCUCGCCUGGAACGCGGGUGUGGUGAAAGCUACCGAGGGUUCGAAUCCCUCUCUCACCGCCA
This 88-nucleotide transfer RNA is filed under the name Deltaproteobacteria bacterium. RNAcentral describes it as "tRNA-Ser". It matches the Rfam family "tRNA". From Rfam's summary of the family: Transfer RNA (tRNA) molecules are approximately 80 nucleotides in length. Their secondary structure includes four short double-helical elements and three loops (D, anti-codon, and T loops). Further hydrogen bonds mediate the characteristic L-shaped molecular structure. tRNAs have two regions of fundamental functional importance: the anti-codon, which is responsible for specific mRNA codon recognition, and the 3' end, to which the tRNAs corresponding amino acid is attached (by aminoacyl-tRNA synthetases). tRNAs cope with the degeneracy of the genetic code in two manners: having more than one tRNA (with a specific anti-codon) for a particular amino acid; and 'wobble' base-pairing, i.e. permitting non-standard base-pairing at the 3rd anti-codon position. The record is from RNAcentral. Lineage: Bacteria; Pseudomonadati; Myxococcota; Myxococcia.